GCCGCCACCCUGCAGUGUCCCUCCCACCGGGGUCGGCGUGCGUGUGGCCAGAGGACUUGGGUGGCAGACAGGCCUCUCGGGCGGGCAAGGCCGGUUCCAGCUUUGGGGGCAGCCUACACCCCCGACGGGGUGUGGCUCUGUGAUUGGUGGGGCUGAGAGGGUGAAUGGUGUCAUGUUCGGUGGUUCCUUUCCCGUGAGGUUGGGCAGAAGAGCAAGUGGAUGGUGCCCAAGUCUCUGCACAUUGAAGCCCUGAGGGGCCCGGCCGACGCCACGUCUUCCCCCAGAGCUGCCGCGUCGUCGCCUCACAAGAAUGCUCGCAGCCCUGGGCAGACCCACGGUGACAGUCAAACUACAUUCUGAGUGUUUCCUGCUCGAGGAUCGGGACGGAACGACGCGGUUACGUGUCUUGCAGGUUUUGUAAGCAGAAAGGUGAGAACGGCGGCUGCCCAGAGGGAAACGACAGAGGGUUUCUUCCGUCCAUCCUAGCCGGCGGGUCACCCCGGCCUCACCGUCCCCCGCUGGCCGCAGCCGUUCAGCAGUCACCCGCUGGGGCCCGCAGCCUCGUGCUGACAAGGCGUGUGGCCCAGCGAGGGCAGGUGACGAGGCUCUUCAGACGGCAGGUGUGCCGAGGACUCUCUGGUUACGUUGUUCUCAUCUGAUCUCGAGGGCUGGGGUCUGUGAUACAACAGGAAUGAAAGGCGCGCCUGCCUUGCCUGCCAAAAAAGCCCCUUUUGUUUGUCAAAGCCUCCCCCCCCCCCAUCAGCCACCAGCUUGGCUUGGGACCUUGCUGUGUCCUGUGUCCUUACCAGUUACCCGUUUCUGGGCUGGCCGUUCUUAGAGGUGUUUGUACAUGUCAGAACGAAGCAAGCCUUCAGCUGUCUUUUCGUAAGAAAGCACGGUCCGUGCUCGCACUGGGUGCAGAUCAGUGAGGCUCGGGGAUUGGCAGAGCGCGGGUGGAGAGAAAGCUGCGGUUACUGUCACAUUGGGCUUUAGAGGAGACGCCUGUGUGGGCAGCAGCCCCAGGCUGGUCAGGACUGGGUGAAUGGAAGCGUGCGCCCGAGGGAUUCGGGGCUUUCACGUGGCUGCAAAUGAAAGGCGGGAACCCGAGGCUUCCUUCGGGGACAUCGGGAAAACGCAAGGGCAGCGGCUGUGGUGCCACCCCGCUGCAGGGACCGCCUGAUACUUUUUUGAAUUUUGCUGAGGAAAGUGUGCUUUUAAGUCCACAUCCAGGACUUGAACCAGAGGUUUCCUCGGGGAGGUGCUGGGGGCUUGGCUAGGAUGAACCUGGGGUGUUGGGACCCUCGGGGCUGCAGGAAGAGGUGACGCUUCCCCGCGCAGCAUGGUCACCGGGCUCGCAGUUUGGCUCAAGUUGCCGUCAGGAUUCUCCCCUCAGGAAGCAGUGAAGCGUGGUCAGACUUUACCUUCAAACACGUAAAUAAAUUCCACAUCUAUACCGUU
Lagenorhynchus albirostris (white-beaked dolphin) is the source of this 1458-nucleotide long non-coding RNA. RefSeq lists it as uncharacterized. The transcript is spliced from 2 exons. Lineage: Eukaryota; Metazoa; Chordata; Mammalia; Artiodactyla; Delphinidae. The record is from RefSeq and is a predicted model, not a curated record.